AGUGAAUUGUGUCAAUGAGGCUGGAGCUCCUUAUAACAUCCCUUUAUGUAAAGUUUGGGUCAAUUCUAGAGACAAGAUGGGACUGAAUUUCAGGCAAGAGUCAAGAGCCCCAGGUCUGAGAAGUGGAGGACUGGAAACACUGGAGCCCAGCACAGAAAAAGUUUGCUGACUUCUGCUCUAAGGCAAGAAAAGUCAAAUGACUGUGGCUAUAUGAGACUCCCAUGUGAACCAAGCACAGGGUGACAUAGGAAGUAGCAAGAAAAAUUUGAGCAGUGGUCCACCCUGUUCAGCAAGACAAAUGAUGACACUGAGACAUCCUAGGAAUGAGCUUUCCUAGCACCAUGGGACUCUGGACUCCAUUAUUCAAACAAAAGUCAGAAGCUGUCCCGGACCUCAGGGCUCCGCAGUCAGAUUUGCCAGUCUCCCAGCUGUUCUUCCUUUUCCAUACUUGGCAGUGAAACACGGAAAACUCAUCUCAUCUCAGGCCCAAAGAAGACACUCUCCUCGACCCCGUGACAUUUUCUGGCUUCAGGGCUUGGGCGGAGCUCCCAAAGGGCAGAGCGGGAUUAGCAUCAUUAUUUUCAAAACUGUGGCUGAGGAAACAACGUUUCAGAGAAGUCACAGCGAUUUUCCAGAGACAUACAGCUGGUCAAGCCUAGAUCAGGUUUCGAACCU
Molecule: long non-coding RNA, 675 nt
Organism: Eptesicus fuscus (big brown bat)
Lineage: Eukaryota; Metazoa; Chordata; Mammalia; Chiroptera; Vespertilionidae
Exons: 7
Source: RefSeq, a predicted model, not a curated record